CUCCUAUCUACUGUCUAGCGAAACCACAGCCAAGGGAACGGGCUUGGCAGAAUCAGCGGGGAAAGAAGACCCUGUUGAGCUUGACUCUAGUCUGACACCGCUUGGCGAUAUCAGAGGUGUAGCAUAAGUGGGAGACCAAGUCGACAGUGAAAUACCACUACUUUGAUCAUUGCUAGGCUAAAUCAGUGAUGCGGAGUUUGGGUUUYAUUACCCACAAUUCUGGCCUUAAGUCGUGUUCUUUUACGCGACGAUCCGUUCUGAUGACAGUGUCAGGCGGGGAGUUUGACUGGGGCGGUACAUCUUUUAAACGGUAACGAAGGUGUCCUAAGGCAAGCUCAGCGAGGACAGAAACCUCGCGUAGAGCAAAAGGGCAAAAGCUUGCUUGAUUUUGAUUUUCAGUACGAAUACAGACCGUGAAAGCGUGGCCUAUCGAUCCUUUUGACUUUAAGAGUUUUAAGCAAGAGGUGUCAGAAAAGUUACCACAGGGAUAAC
RNAcentral lists this ribosomal RNA (492 nucleotides) under Macrobiotus sp. EBU39269. RNAcentral's name for it is "eukaryotic LSU rRNA". It matches the Rfam family "Eukaryotic large subunit ribosomal RNA", at positions 2343 to 2830 of the family's 3401-position model. The record is from RNAcentral. Lineage: Eukaryota; Metazoa; Tardigrada; Eutardigrada; Parachela; Macrobiotidae.